CACAAAGCGGCCCGCCCGCCCCCGCCGCGCUGGCCAAUGGGAGGCGGCAGCGGGAGGGAGGGCACCGCCCACGUGAGCGCGGAGUGCUGCGGUGGGGGGAGCCGGGACCGGGUCAGCGGUGCCCGGGGGCUGUGCCCGGGGGCUCAGCCCGGGGCCGCUCCCCGCUGCCCGCUCACACGGGACCUGUCCUAGCCAGCGUCGGGCUGGGAAAGCCCUUCCGCGGGGACAAGAGUGCCGGAGGCUCGUCCGUGCCUGCCCCGAGGCCCCGGGGAAGGAGCAGAGCCCGCGGGGCAGGGCCGUGCUGCAGAGGGCGGCAGGAGGCUGAGGAACCCCGCGGGCUUUGCAAGUCGAGCCCCGAGCUGGGGCGGGAGAAACGAGAGAGAAGGAAAAGAGCUGAAGGACUGAGCCCCCUGCUUGGGGGGCAGAAAGGAACGGGCCAGCAGAUGCGCUCAGCCGGUCGCCAGAAGCACCGGGUGGGAGGGGCAGAGGCUCAGGGCUUCCCGAGCAGCGGCCCGGCCCCUCCGCCAGUAGACCUUCCCUGUUGCGCUGAGGAGGGCUCAGGGAGAAGCUGUGGUGGGACAGCAGUGAGGGCUGGAGGCAUGACAGGCUGAAAGCGCCCGGCCUGGUCCCAGCCCUCCCCCGCCCUCGAAACGAGGAGGGCUCAGAGGGACGAUACCUGGCACGGAACCGGGACCAGCCUGCUCGGCAGCCCUCGGCUCGCCUUCGUCCUCCGCACGGACUGACCAUGGGACUGAGUUUUGGGUUGACACCGUGCCAGGCUCGUCACACGGCAGGAAAUUGUCCGUGUAAAAAUAGAACUUUUAUUAAAACAGUCAUGAAUGGAGCAGCUGAAGUGUCUGAGUCAUGCACGGUACAGCUCGGACUCAUCUGGUAUCUCAGGACCGCGCAGGAGGCUGAAAACCGCUUCAGGAGAAGAGCUGCCGCCUGGCAGGACUCCUGGCCGGCUCCGCCGGCAGGGCAUUGAAGCCUCAGCCAUUUCAAAGCAGAAAACCCACUCGUUUGGGGUGUGCCGGGGAGGGCAUUGCCCACUCGCAGCAGCAGCUUCAAUGCCACGAAGGGCUGCAGGUGCUUGGCUCUACUGGGCACAGUGGUGGAGGCACCUGCAGGAGGCAGACAGAAAUUGAGGCACAAUUCGAGGCUGACUUCCCUGCCUGGCGCCUGCUGGAAGACAACGGCUGGUGCUGCCGGCGGAGUUUCGUUGUGCCGCUCUCCGGAGCCCUUGCUUGGGGCUGCGGUGGCAGCAGAGCUCGCACUGCCUGCCGCAGGGGUUAAUCUUUUCUCCCGCCGCCGCACAGGCGUGGAUGUAAAUAAAUGCAGCAGAACAAA
Molecule: long non-coding RNA, 1347 nt
Organism: Pogoniulus pusillus (Red-fronted tinkerbird)
Lineage: Eukaryota; Metazoa; Chordata; Aves; Piciformes; Lybiidae
Exons: 2
Source: RefSeq, a predicted model, not a curated record